RNAcentral lists this ribosomal RNA (183 nucleotides) under uncultured freshwater bacterium. RNAcentral describes it as "partial 16S ribosomal RNA". It matches the Rfam family "Bacterial small subunit ribosomal RNA", at positions 345 to 524 of the family's 1533-position model. The record is from RNAcentral.
CUGGACACAGUGAGGAUUUGGACAUGGGGGCACCCUGAUCCAGCAAUGCCGCGUGAGUGAAGAAGGCCUUCGGGUUGUAAAGCUCUUUUGUCAGGGAAGAAACGGUGGGAGCGAAUAACUUCUACUAAUGACGGUACCUGAAGAAUAAGCACCGGCUAACUACGUGCCAGCAGCCGCGGUAAU